UCUGAUGUUAGCGGCGGACGGGGGUGAGUAAACACGUGGGGUAAACCUACCCUAUAAAGACUGGGAUUAAACUCCGGGAAACCGGGGCUAAUACCCGGAUAAUAUUUUGAACCGCAUGGUUCAAUAGUGAAAGACGGUUUCGGCUGUCACUUAUAGAUGGACCCGCGCCGUAUUAGCUAGUUGGUAAGGUAACGGCUUACCAAGGCGACGAUACGUAGCCGACCUGAGAGGGUGAUCGGCCACACUGGAACUGAGACACGGUCCAGACUCCUACGGGAGGCAGCAGUAGGGAAUCUUCCGCAAUGGGCGAAAGCCUGACGGAGCAACGCCGCGUGAGUGAUGAAGGUCUUCGGAUCGUAAAACUCUGUUGUUAGGGAAGAACAAAUUUGUUAGUAACUGAACAAGUCUUGACGGUACCUAACCAGAAAGCCACGGCUAACUACGUGC
RNAcentral lists this ribosomal RNA (447 nucleotides) under uncultured Curtobacterium sp. RNAcentral's name for it is "bacterial SSU rRNA". It matches the Rfam family "Bacterial small subunit ribosomal RNA", at positions 85 to 508 of the family's 1533-position model. Lineage: Bacteria; Bacillati; Actinomycetota; Actinomycetes; Micrococcales; Microbacteriaceae. The record is from RNAcentral.